Long non-coding RNA from Cyprinus carpio carpio, 1159 nucleotides. The record is from Ensembl. Lineage: Eukaryota; Metazoa; Chordata; Actinopteri; Cypriniformes; Cyprinidae.
UGUGUCACUGACGUUUCCAGCAGAAGCAUCGGGACAGAGUGCAAUCCAAUGCUGCAUGAGAUAUAUGAGUAUUUUAUUACAUACUCCUCCUCCAUCAUCUUCCUGUCUUCCCUACAGGGCUUUCCACACAAACCCUCAGUGAUUAAAAGCAUGUUGUGUGUGUUUGAAUGAGUGUUUGACUCUCCCUGUGAGUCUCCACUCAAGCUCUGCACAUGAAUGAGGAUCUACAGAAACUCUCAACAUUGUCAUUCCCGUCAGCAGCUGUUUCUCUCCACGAGCAGCAGCUGCAUUAAGCAGGUCAACAGCACAAUCCCUGGGUGAGCGCUCUCUAAACUGUCUUAACCACGUCUUCCCUCCAGAGAGAGGAGACCUUCAGAGCCGCAGUAAAAGCCAUAGACCUCCGUAUCCGCGAGUCUCUCCCUCAGGACGGAACAAUGUCACAAACUCUGGCAUUUUUAUAAUCAAUUUAGAGUCUGGGCUGUGAGAGCUGCCGGCUUCUCCGUGCUGCUAAUCCCAAAGUGACUUUUAAGACUGCACUGUGAAGAGGAUAAUCAAUUUUAUACAGCCGUCCACCCGGAGCACGAGUCCUCAGAACGACACGCGAGGAUACUGAAGAGCACAGUGAACAAUAUACAGUGUGAAGACAUAGAUGGUCAUUAGUAUGCAUGCUGUGAGCAUUUCACUAACCGGCAUUGAUCAGCAGAACCUCAGGGGCAUCAGACAUCUAUUUCACAAUAUCCCAGAUAUUUCUGAGAGAUUACUGGAGUAACAAGGAGGCAGCGUUAUUCUGUGAUAUCACUUUAUAACUUCAGACAACACACACCAGACUCUUAUUCAGUUCUGAUUAAAUCAGCGUUUUGAACAAAUCAGUUGAGUAGAUGAUUCAAUGACUCACUUAGAAAGACAGCGAUUGUGUUCCAAUACUCACACUUAUCUUUUCACUUGAGCACUUGUCUACUUAUUUACUACUCAGUUUUGUUUAUGGCCACUAGUGGCUGCAGAAAAACAACGUAUAAUGAAAAUGAUGAAUACAAAUUUUAAAGAAAUAGUUCACUCAGAAAUGAAAACUAGCUAACCGUCCGAGAUCAGGAUGAGUUUGUUUCUUCAUCAGAUUUGUAGAAAUGUAGCACUGCAUCAGUGUCUCAUCAAUGGAUGCUCU